UACAGAGGGUGCAAGCGUUGUUCGGAAUUAUUGGGCGUAAAGGGCGCGUAGGCGGUGCGGUAAGUCUAUGGUGAAAUCUCCGGGCUCAACUCAGAGCCUGCCACGGAAACUGCCGUGCUUGAGUGUGGGAGAGGUGCGUGGAAUUCCCGGUGUAGCGGUGAAAUGCGUAGAUAUCAGGAGGAACACCUGCGGUGUAGACGGCUCUCUGGACCAUAACUGACGCUGAGACACGAAAGCGUGGGUAGCAAACAGG
This 253-nucleotide ribosomal RNA is filed under the name uncultured prokaryote. RNAcentral describes it as "partial 16S ribosomal RNA". It matches the Rfam family "Bacterial small subunit ribosomal RNA", at positions 524 to 776 of the family's 1533-position model. The record is from RNAcentral.